RNAcentral lists this unclassified non-coding RNA (428 nucleotides) under Trachymene cyanopetala. RNAcentral's name for it is "partial external transcribed spacer". The record is from RNAcentral. Lineage: Eukaryota; Viridiplantae; Streptophyta; Magnoliopsida; Apiales; Araliaceae.
GUGUUUGGUUUGUUUGGGUCGGUUGGUUCCAUGCUCGUGCAUCGACAACCGGUCUUUCUUACCUCUUCAUUGUUGUUCCACGGGCAUCAUGCCAUGGACCAAGUCGGUUUCCUGUGUUGCAUACCUUCGUUGACGGAAUUUUCUUGUUUAAACGUCCCUAAUCUCACCUUGUGCUGCCCACGUGGCGCGAGGUAGACCAUAUAGUGCGUUUCGUUGUCCUCUCUUCUUCCGCACGGUCGGUUGAAGAAAGGGCCAGCGUUGCGUUGCUCGAAGUCUUGGAUGCGGAAUCAUAAGCGGGCAAAGGGGCCUUCGGUCUUUAGUUGCCCAAACCAAGCGUUCUCGCUUAUUGCGAACGACUGUUGUGCUCGUUUUGAGUUGAGGAUACUUUUGGUCCGAUGCUCAUGCGGUGCCGGCGUCGUAAAUGAAUG